This 577-nucleotide ribosomal RNA is filed under the name uncultured Gammaproteobacteria bacterium. Its description in RNAcentral is "bacterial SSU rRNA". It matches the Rfam family "Bacterial small subunit ribosomal RNA", at positions 527 to 1103 of the family's 1533-position model. The record is from RNAcentral. Lineage: Bacteria; Pseudomonadati; Pseudomonadota; Gammaproteobacteria.
GGAGGGUGCAAGCGUUAAUCGGAAUUACUGGGCGUAAAGCGUACGUAGGCGGUGUGUUAAGCUAGAUGUGAAAGCCCCGGGCUCAACCUGGGAAUAGCAUUUAGAACUGGCACGCUAGAGUCCUGAAGAGGGUGGUAGAAUUUCCAGUGUAGCGGUGAAAUGCGUAGAUAUUGGAAGGAAUACCGGUGGCGAAGGCGGCCACCUGGUCAGAGACUGACGCUGAGGUACGAAAGCGUGGGGAGCAAACAGGAUUAGAUACCCUGGUAGUCCACGCCGUAAACGAUGUCAACUAGUUGUUCGUGUCAUUAAGACGUGAGUAACGCAGCUAACGCACUAAGUUGACCGCCUGGGGAGUACGGCCGCAAGGUUAAAACUCAAAUGAAUUGACGGGGGCCCGCACAAGCGGUGGAGCAUGUGGUUUAAUUCGAUGCAACGCGAAGAACCUUACCAUCCCUUGACAUCCAGUGAAUUUUCCAGAGAUGGAUUAGUGCCUUCGGGAACACUGAGACAGGUGCUGCAUGGCUGUCGUCAGCUCGUGUUGUGAGAUGUUGGGUUAAGUCCCGCAACGAGCGCAACC